GACGAACGCUGGCGGCGUGCCUAACACAUGCAAGUCGAACGCGAAAGGGGCUUCGGCCCUGAGUAGAGUGGCGUCCGGGUGAGUAACGCGUGGGUAAUCUACCCUCGGGUGGGGAAUAACCAAUCGAAAGAUUGGCUAAUACCGCAUAAUGCAGCGGCUCGACAUCGAGACAGUUGUUAAAGCAGCAAUGCGCCAGAGGAGGAGCCUGCGUCUGAUUAGCUGUUGGCGGGGUAACGGCCCACCAAGGCUACGAUCAGUAGCUGGUCUGAGAGGACGGCCAGCCACAAUGGCACUGAAACACGGGCCAUACUCCUACGGGAGGCAGCAGUGAGGAAUUUUGGACAAUGGGGCAACCCUGAUCCAGCGACGCCGCGUGAAGGAUGAAGGUCUUCGGAUUGUAAACUUCUUUUAUUUGGGACUAAGAAACUCAUAGAAAUAUGGGGAGUGAAUGUACCAAGUGAAUAAGCCACGGCUAACUUCGUGCCAGCAGCCGC
RNAcentral lists this ribosomal RNA (494 nucleotides) under uncultured bacterium. RNAcentral's name for it is "bacterial SSU rRNA". It matches the Rfam family "Bacterial small subunit ribosomal RNA", at positions 28 to 518 of the family's 1533-position model. The record is from RNAcentral.